UACAUUACAAAUGAUGAAUUAGGGCCUUGCCCCAUUUGGUGUAUUUUGUUACUAUCAAUAUUCUGACUAUGCUGUUGGCGAUGGUGGAACUGGAGGGUACAGAUGCGGCGGCGACAACGUCGACUUCGGUGAGAUGGCUGGUGGACCAAGGACCAAUCCUGCAUUUGCUUUAUAAUAUGAAGUAAUGUCGAUGUGUGAUGUUAACAUCAUGGUUAUCUACAGAUGUAUGGGUACGCUCCGUUUAUGGUCGUCUCUAUAACGUGUGGAGUAUCGAGACCUGUUUACGGAGUCCGCCGUGAUGGAAAACGUUAAUAUUCCAACAAAAGUGCUUCCGGAUGCUACGAUGAGAGAGCUUGGCCUUCCAAGCGCAGCUUACUCAACACACAAGGCAAGGACCUCGAGGCAAGUGUUUAAUUCUAUCCAUUGAGUACCAGCUAAAUAAUGAACUUGCAAAGACAUUAAUAUCCAUCUAUGUCUAUGAAACUGGAUGAGUCUGAAGAUUGGCUGGCAGACGAACCUCUUAAAUACAUGGAAGCCUCUUACAACAAAGUGCUGCAAGACAUCAACUAUGAUAAGUUGCAGUUGGUUCAACAAAAAGUAAAUCUCUGGAACACGAGCUGAAAGAAAAAGAUGGAAUCAUAGACUAUCUGAGCAGCAGCUGGUGGAUGAUGUCUAUGGAAGGCAUUUCUGCUUUUGCCAAUUACAACCCGCCGAAACACACCCACCAUGAAGAGCAGCUUAGAUGAUGAGGUCAUUUUCGACACGGCUGGUACAGGCUCUACCUGAUCUAAAUACUGCAUAUCUUAGUUACCAUAAGCUAGGUGACCAAAGCUAUCUAUAUGAUGCAUGUCUGUCUAUCAGCUAAUCUCAUCCCUUUCUUUUGGCCUAUGUUCUUAUUUGACAAAGCUGAAGGAAGCACGUCCAGAUUAGUUCUCUGGAUGGUGAGGUUAGAUUAAUUGACCACUAUUUCUAUUUAACUUCUCCUGUACACAAUAUUCACAAGUUCAUGUAUUAAGUACAUUUUAUUGUGUCACUUGUGUUUACUCCUUUUUUAAUGCAAGUUUACAGCUACUCGGAGUUCCUAAUUGCAGACUCAACUAUCUUGACCUACCGAUGAUCUAAUUUGUGGCAUUAAUUAUUACCUUAAGAAAAUAUUUGCAUUUAAUUUCACUUAUAUAUAGGGGUAUAAGUUCUUACCAAAUGUACUCAAAUAUACAAUUACUGAAAAAAUGCAAAUAUUUUCAACACGAACAUGGUUUUAAACGGGUCUUUGCGCCAUUUGGCGCAACUGGUCAUCUAGUAGAGCAAACCAUCCAGGGUCCCUUCGGUGCAGUAAUCAUCUCUGAAUAGGUGAGUACAGCUUCAGCUUCAGCUGCAUGCUAGGUGUUUGUUGUUUGCUUUAGCAGUGCUUUGGUUGCUGCAAAUCUAGCAAGUUGCCUGACAGCUCCAUAUCUCAUCGUCUGCAUGAUUUCAGCAUCGCAUGUGACAGCCAUUCCUGGUAUCUCCAUUGCAUUUUCCUAUGGGCCAACCAGUUGGUAACCAUCAGGGCCAGAAUGGCAUCAGGUCCAUCUCUAUGGAGCUGUCACUAGUUCAUGUCACUAUUUUUGUUUUCUGGUGGCUUUUGUUCAUGGACUGCAGUAAUGUAAGUUGCAGCGCAGGGCUCACUUUGUUAGUACCUGAAGUUUACUUGUAUUGUCCAUGACAGUGACUUAAUGAUGAGGGCAUCUCAGUACCUCAUGUUGUUCCCAUGAAGGAGGAGGUGAAGCCCAACUUCAGGACUCCUCCAAGUUAGAGGUGUGCCAAAGGGGGUGACCGAACCAUGUACUUGGUCGGUUCUAGUUUUAUCUAUUUUUAUUUCCAAGUCUUGUUAUGGGCCACUUAGGAUUUUUAUUUUGUGUAUUUCGGUGUGGGCCUGUCCAACCGAUUAGUUUUCUAGAUGCCUAUAUAAGGAGGCUAGUGGCUAGGUUUAGAGGGGGUGAAAUUUUUAGAUUGAGUUUUGAACAUUGUGUCCACGUGGUGAAUCAUCCCUCCGGGGACGGCGCUGCUAUUUAUCAAAUAAAGUGAUGAUUGCAUGAA
This is a long non-coding RNA of Triticum dicoccoides, 2076 nucleotides long. RefSeq lists it as uncharacterized. Lineage: Eukaryota; Viridiplantae; Streptophyta; Magnoliopsida; Poales; Poaceae. The record is from RefSeq and is a predicted model, not a curated record. The transcript has 3 exons.